UCUGAAUCUACAUGGUACUACUGUUCCCCCACAUUAUCAGACAGCAUAUUAAAUCUGAGCUGAUAACAUGCAAGAGAAAAGAGAAGAUGGCAAAAUUUGCCUAGGUUUAGCAUAAGCUCUGAUUUUCCAGCACACAAAAAUUCAUUGUUAGGAAAUUGAGCAAAGCACACCAGCCUCAUGGCACAAUUUGCUGAAGCAAAACUAAACUAACUGAGCUUCACACAACUGGGUCCGGCUUAUCCAUUUCCAGCAAAGCUGCAUGGCUUCAUGCUGCAUUUCUUCCUCUGAAUGUUAGUGCUGGUAUUUCCUGGUGGUUUAUUUCCUUCCUGUCUACCAUAGAGAGGUGCCAGUGAAAGCUUAGUUGCAGUGUGCAUGCACAGCACAAGAGUUAUCUCCUCCCAGCAGCAGAUCGUGUUCUUCACUUUGGUCAUAGGAAGCAUUAGGAAGAAUGUUAAAAUGUUAAAUUGUGAAGAUUUACAUCAACAUUUUUCUAUUAUAACCUUAUAUUUAUGCUAAUUGGAAAGUACUUGUAGUAUCAUGCUGGUCUUAUAGUACUACUACCCAUAAUCCAUUUUCAUUUUACAGCUUGGGAGGCACGUUGGCUGGAGUUGACUGAAUAGAUUUUUAUUAGGUACUGAAGAGCCUUCCUCUGGACUCACCUUGGUUGCCUCCCCUUCCUCGAUGAAUCUUUUCCUUUAAGUCACUUUAGGAAGCAGCAGGAAUUCUGCAAGAGAUGAGGAUUCUUGUCAGGAUGACACUGCUGAGGGUUCACAGUACAUCAACACAGCUGCUAUUUCUGUUGCCAGACAAUCCUCUACACAUUGUGAAUCUGUCAUGAGAAGAGGCCUUACCCCAUUGAUUAUCUUAGAAAACAGUUCUGCUGGCUUCAGAAACAUCAAAAUAAGGUUCUUUGUGCCUACAGGGCCUUGCAAACACCCUUUCCUUCCCUUUGGCCAGCGUGGGAACGUGAUCAUAAUAUCCAAUGACACACAGUACAGUAGCAUGUUGUUCUGCCUCCAAUAGAAGUGGUAUUUGAGAAAAGUCAAGGUCCACACAUGGAAACAUCAUUGAUAAAUCCAUUGAUAGAGCUUGAGAAACUAAGCAUCAUUUUGGGCUCAAAGCCAAUCACCUUUAGUGCAACUUUCUACAGCAAGGCAAGUCAAUGGACAUGCAGAAAAGAUUGAGGGUGUUGUGUGGAAACCACACAUGUUGCUACAUCUUAUAGGUUAAGAAUUUUCCAUCUCUAUAUGUUCCUUAAAGGGAAAGUUGGAUUUUGUGAGCAUAUUUUUUCCACAAAAAAAAAAAAAAAAAUCUGCUUUCUCUAGAAAAUUAGAGCUAUUCAUCAGACAGCCAAACACCUGCAAGCCAAAUAUUUCUGGCUGAAAGUAUUGAUCCUCUCAGGAGGAUGGGAGUUUGGUGCUUCAUUUCCAUGCACUUUGUUAGGGCCUCACAAGUGUCACAUUUUCAGUGUCUUGUGUGGCUGAGCUCGAGUGGGGACAGGAGCACACGUGACAGCAGCACUGCCAUGGAACAGAAUUUGGGUGUGAGCUGAUAUCCCACUCCACUCCUGCAAGGCCAGGAUCUGCCUGCAAGCAAGCCAGGGCAGUGGGGAUGCUCAAGGAUUUUGGGCUGGAAAAAAGCUCCAGGUUAAGCAGUCAUAUCUUCAAGUACCUAAACCUACCAUUUGCAUGGUUAGUGUUUUUUACUAUGAGUUUUCAGAUGGAACCUUUGUUACUUUACUGUUAUAAAAACAAAUCUUUUCAGAUUUUCCAAUUAAAAACAGAUCAAUAAGCUCAGAUAGUUUUUUGGGAAGUAAUGGGCCUGACUCUGCUCCAUUAAACUCAGAGACAUUAAUUGGGCAGUGGAUUACCUAGAACAGAAGCUUGGUAAUACUUGAAUUUAGAUAUAAGAAGGAAGUUUUUUGUAAUGAAGUAAAACAGUGGCAUGGAUUGCCCAGAGAGGUGCCCCAUCCCUGGAAACAAGCAAGGUCAGGUUGGAUGGGGCUCUGAGCAGCCUGGUUUGU
Cyanistes caeruleus (blue tit) is the source of this 2023-nucleotide long non-coding RNA. The record is from Ensembl. Lineage: Eukaryota; Metazoa; Chordata; Aves; Passeriformes; Paridae.